Schistocerca gregaria is the source of this 345-nucleotide long non-coding RNA. RefSeq lists it as uncharacterized. Lineage: Eukaryota; Metazoa; Arthropoda; Insecta; Orthoptera; Acrididae. The transcript is spliced from 2 exons. The record is from RefSeq and is a predicted model, not a curated record.
GCUUGUUGCGCAUCUAUAAGAGGAGACGCCGUUUCCAGUUCGAGCAGAGUAUCCACCACCCGGUACUACUUGACACGCUGUAAUCAUGGUCCGCGGCGCUGGCUGGCUGGUGACCCUGUUGGUGGUGGCUGUGGUGCUGCUGCACGCGGCCGUGGCCGACCCCGGCGUCUUCAGUUCCCCCAUCUGCGCUCACAACCGCGGCGCGUAAGCGCGCCCACAGCGGCGUCCAAGCGGUCAGCCACAUGGCGUGUCACGUCUUUCUAGCUCCAGAAUUCUCACAACAGGUGUCCACAAGAUGAACUCACAGUGUAUAAUUUGAAUCUAAUAAAGCAGCUGUAUAUAUCA